Non-coding RNA from Leptonychotes weddellii (Weddell seal), 5384 nucleotides. NCBI's taxonomy places the organism in Eukaryota, Metazoa, Chordata, Mammalia, Carnivora, Phocidae. The record is from RefSeq and is a predicted model, not a curated record.
GCUAUCCAGGCGCCCUGUGGCGCGGCCCGCCGAGACGCAAGGUCCUCCGCGCAGCCUAGAGAGGACGCGGAAGUCGGCUGGGGGCGGGGCCCGAGGCCCCUGCGCGUUGACUCCCGAUGCAGUUUAACGGGUUCUGUGAGGGUCGGCGAUAGUGUGUCGCUGAGGGUGGGCGUCCGCCUGUUGCCCUCUGUUCUCCCGUUUACCUCACCUAGCGGUGCCGCCAGCGCCCGAGGGGAGUGGGUGCGGGUCCCGAGUCCCCCGGCGAGGGUCGACGCCAGCAGUGUCUGUCCUCGUGCCCGGGUGGUCGGGGCCGUGCCACCCUCGGUGUCCCCCGACCGUCUCUUCUCAGGCGCGCCCAUCCCCCACUCCUCACGUUCCCAGCCCUACUUCUCCCCCGAGGAGCAGGUUCUGGGACGACCCCGGGUCAUAGUGGACAAACCUCCUGUUGCCGGGGCCGGUGACCUUCGAUGAUGUGGACGUGGGCUUCAGAAACAGAGUGGACUCGCCUGGAGUGUCCUGAGAAGGCUCUUUACACGGACGUGACAUUAAAGAAUUACGGAAACGCCAUGGCACUGAAGUGUGGAGAGUCGUGCAAGAAGGAAAGGGAGAGAAGGAAGUGCACACAACAGGAUGCUACAUUGUUUCCUUAAACGAAACUUUUCCCCCAGCCUCUGCCGGUCGUGGCCCUGAAGACCCCGCCCUCUGCAGAGGGAAGUCCUGAGGCCCGGUCAUGGCGGUCAUGGCGGCUGCAGCCCUAGCCCUUGGGUCUGGGACUGGCGUUGCCUGGCCCUUCCGAGAGGAAUCUCCAUUAAGGCGUGAUGGAGAAUUUCGGGAACGUGACCUGACUGGGUAAGAACUCUCUGUGUGUCUCAGUUAAUCCAUUGCUGACUAAGUCAUUGCUGCCACCCAUUUGUUGGCAUGGUCUGAAGCUUUCAGGUUAGUUGGUUUUAGUUUCUGAAUCCUUGUAAGCUGCAUGGUCCCUCCUGAUGAAGAGUGGGCUAUUUCUGCUUCCUAUAAAUGUUGGGUUCUGAUAUUUCCCUUACUGGAAAUGGGCAUAUUUCCUGGGAUCUGAGUUUACCCUCUCCAGCACCCAGGUGAUCUGUCUGUAUCGAAGACCUUGACCCCAGGAGUUUUACUUCCGGCCUAAGAUGGUCGUCCCCUUAGAGAGCAGCCCCGCCUGUUGGCUUCCCGGCCAUGUCUGUUUCAUGUUGGCAGAAGGCCUAAGGCUGCUUUGGGUCCAUUAUCUCCCCUUUUCCUGUUCCCAGUGCUAUGAAUAGAAUUUUAUUUUUCCCAACCUAAUCUGAUCAUCUUCCUGGAACAAGGGGAAGCAUGAUGGGUACCAGAUCUGCCGGCCACUUAAGGAUGGAGGGCUUUGCUCACACUGGUGAGUGAGGGGAGUCCCUUAGCUCCCCUCCUGUGGCAACUCCUUCCCGUGUGCCUUGGGCAGAACGCCGAUUUAGAUGAUUCCUCAUUUUCUCUUGGUCUCUUGGCCACCAGGGGAAAUCGGAUAGAAACUUCUACAGGAAUACCCCAGUGUGCAUUUCCUCUCCCCUGGGUUAGCCAUGAGCACCUGGAGGACAGCCUCUGACGUCUGCCUCUGCCUGGGCCGUCUGCGUGCAGUGAAGACCCCGAGGAGCUUCGCCCGCAGCCGUUCCCCUUUACCUGCUGCUUUGUUUUCUUACCCCUUUCCUUCUGGGGCUUGACUUCAUCUCUACACAUCAGCUGACUGUGCUGUUCAUUCCCUAGGUGUUUUGCCCGGCCCUUCGUUCCUCCCUCUCACUCUGUGUUACCAGCACACUCGGCCUUCCUUGUCGGCUGGCUCUCGGCCCCGUCCCAGCUCCCUUCCCUCCCUUACCGCGACGGCUUGGGAGGACGAGGGCUGCACAUCAGCAUUCUCUCUUCGGUGCUUCUGUUCUCAGAAUGUCCUGAGUCCCGAGAAACCACAAGAGGUUUUAGAAGAAAAGAUCCUUCAAGUAUGGCGAGUGCGGGAAGAGGUCCCCUGGGAAGUCACGACCUCCUGCUUGGCGGAAAAUCUGCUGAGAGGUCUGCGCUCUCCCGUUCCUGCAGCCCACAGGAAUUGCGCUCGCCAGCAGUCUGAUUGAGAUGUGGGAAGGCCUUUAGGAGGAAUCCCAACCUUACUGAUCGUCAGAGACUCCACUUCGGGGAGAGGCCUUGAUGGGGAGGGAGGAGGGCAGAAAGGUGGCCAACAAUCACCAAGACUGUCAUCAGCAUAGUAGGUUUCAUACCAUUUCCAAGCCUGGAGUCUGACUAGUGGGAAAGCGGAAAAAGAUCAUCCCUUCCCUUCUCCCAGAAUGGAUGCAGGAGACCGAGGGUGCAAACACAGCAAGGAGGAGAAAGCCUUCCCUGUGGCUAAUUCCAAGCCGUUUCUGUAAAGGGGCCAGAGAGUAAAAAUGCUCGGCUGUGGGCUAUCGGCCCGGCCCUGCUGUCGGAGCACAGAAGCAGCCAGAACUAUGCACGCAGAGGAGUGUGGCUGCCUUCCAGUACGAUUUGCUUUACGAAAACAGAGAGCCUACCGGGUUUGGCCUGCAGAUCCUACUUUGCCAACCCCUGUUCCAGAGAGAAAGCCUCUUGAGAAGCCUUGAUAAUCAGAGGAUGGAGUCACAAGACAGGAUUCCUAAUGCAGAGAAACCUCGGAACAGCACGAUUAGUGCAACAGAACCUUCAGGGCGGUGCUCCAGCCUGUCAGAGGGCGGUAGGAGAGGCCUGAAAGAUCCAGAAACCUGGGUUUUGCCACAAAAUAGCCGAAGGACCAGCACCCAGUCACUCAAAAGCCACAGGGCUUUUAUGAGAAGAACAAGAGAGUACAUCUGAGAGUGCUUCCAAAAUGAAUAUGAUAAACACAUAUAUUAAUUUUUGUAAGUGAUCUCUACACCCACCGUGGGGCUUGAGCUCACAACCCCAAGAUCAAGAGUCGCACACUCCACUGACAGAGCCAGCCAGGCGCCCCGCUAUGGUAAACACAUUUAAAAUGGUGAUUUAUGUGAAAAGAUGUUACUCAUCCUCCAAAUAGUUUCUGAGCCUCUGCCUCGCCAGGUUCCUGCAGAAGGAAAUCGGGAGCAGAGAGGGCAGGUGGUGUUUAGUGCCACGGGACAGGAUGAUUUCACCGAGGGGAUUCGUGAGGGUCGUGCUGGGGGCUCCAACAUUCAGCAGUAGGGGGAAGCGAGGGACUCAGCCUGGAAGAUUGUGAAAGUGUCCCAUGAGGUGGGAAAACAGCAGUGAGGAGCCGGGAAGGCAGUGCCUGAGGAUGGGACAGUCGCCUCCUGGUGCUGCUGCUGAGCGGGCAGGCGUAGGACUGGGCAGGGACACUGGCUUUGUUGAGGGCGCUGUCUGAGCUCCCCGCGGCUGCACCUAGCACCUAGCACUUAGCACCUAGCACCUAGCACCAGCCAAGCGGCUUAGAACAAUAGGAAUUCUCAGGGUUCUGGAGGCCAGAGGUCCAAAAUCAAGGUACCAGCGGGGCCGAGUUCCCUCUGCGGGCCCUGGGGGAUAAUCCUUUGCCUCGGCCAGCUCCUGGGCUCCCGAGGCUCCUUGGUUUGUGGCCGUGGAACUCCAUUCUCCGCCUGUGUCUUCUCAAGGCCCACUAUCCUGUCCGUGUCUCUUCUGUGGCUCCUAGGACACUUGUCUUUGGAUUUAGGGCUCCUCUCGUAAUCCAGGAUGAUCUAGUCUCAAGAUUCUUAAUUACAUCAGCAAACACCCUUUUUCCAAAUCCGUUUGCACUCCGAGGUUCCAGGGGUUAGGACGUGGACGUAACUCUUGCAGGGGCACCUUCUGGCCCGCUCCAGGUUUUGCUGAAGCGAUGGUGACAAAGCCAGUAACAAAGGGAGCCGGUUCUGAAGGGAUUGGGGGAGGGGAGGGAGAGGGGAGUGCAGCCGCAAGCCAGUGUGGAGCUGGAGGGUAAGACUGAGUCACGCUCACCGAUGAAAGCCGGGAUCCUCUGAUACCCUGCUCUCCCUGUCGGAUGUAGCACCCCCUCCCCCCCCACACACAUGUCAUGGCCUUUCUGGAAUCAGCCAUUGCAGUGAGCGCAUUGUAUCAGGGUCUUUAGAGGCCACGUGAGCUUCCCCUGGGGGUGGGGGGAUAGCAUUGCCAAGGCCGGGGGGUGGGGGGGUUGGCCAGGAGGUAAAAGAGAUGAAACUCGCAAUGGCCCGACUUCCGUGGGCACUUCUGGAAGGCCAGCAGGCGGUGCCGGGGGCUGGCAGAAGCCGGUUACCUGCAGUCGUGAAGCCACUCUCCACCAAACAAAUGGCAUGUCCUCCCCCAACCACAGGAAGCCUGUCCUCACUCACUAAACCCACCGCGCAAACUUGCAGGAGGAAGAGGUAGUCUUCUUGAAUGCCGGGCACCCACGGGAGGCUUGCCAUUGGGCCGGUACCCAGAUCUCCGACGGGAAUGGCUCACCCCGGCUAUUUCGCCUAGAAAAUCUCAAACCGGGAUGCCAACAGUGGUGCGCUUUCGGGAAUUGUGAGUUGAGGUCAUCUCAGCCUUGAACAAAAGAGAACUAAACAGAAGAUCUCAGGUGGAGGCCUUGGCCAGGAUAGGCCGCAUUGUGAUGUGCAGACAGACGGUGGUGUGGCGGAGGAAGUUACUCCCUGGAGGGUUAGCACCGGGAGGACGACGGGGCGUGUGUGGAGGGGCGGAGGGUGUAUUUCAAGUCUCAGCUGAAACCCAUUUCAGAAAGACAGCCCUGAGUAAGUGGGGUUCCCUGUUUCAGCUCACCUGUCCCAUGUUGUCGGCCUGGGAGCGUCGCUCCACCAUGGCGAGGUCUGGCCCAGCGUCACCCCCAUGGACCACAUGGACCACAGAAGGGGAGGCAGACCCCGCUGGCUCCCACAUCUCGGAGAGAGCUUUGUCCCGAGCAGUUGCUCUGUGCUGCCUGGGGGGGACACUGCCGCCUCCGCCCUGCAGGAGCCCAUCUGUGAGCUCUGACCCAUGCACAGCUCCCCGCCCACCCCCCGUGGCAGGGUGUGCAGGGGAGUCUCCUGCAGUCACUGAGGGCGGGGUAUAUGCAACCUUCCCUCUGCACCGCUGCCUCUCCAGUGGCCUCUUGGCACCUCGGCGAUCGCUUGCUACCUCCCAGUUCUUCCCCUUCCCUGUCCUUAUUCCCAGACUGAGGAAUGCCACCCUGAAGUGUUUCCUUUGAGCCACCCCACCCCCAGGCUCCCCACUCUCUCAGCCAGCCCUAGCUGAGAGACGGCGCAGUGUGCUACCCCAGCACCAGCAUAAGGCCCUCCGCCCCUUGCCUUCUCCCCUGGGCAGAAGUACUUCAAACCGUCUGCUGGAAGCAAACAUUUCUAUUUUGGGGGGCGCCUGGGUGGCGCAGUCGUUAGGCAUCUGCCUUCGGCUCAGGUCAUGAUCCCAGGGUC